This 432-nucleotide ribosomal RNA is filed under the name Micrococcus sp. SC50. RNAcentral's name for it is "bacterial SSU rRNA". It matches the Rfam family "Bacterial small subunit ribosomal RNA", at positions 63 to 508 of the family's 1533-position model. The record is from RNAcentral. Lineage: Bacteria; Bacillati; Actinomycetota; Actinomycetes; Micrococcales; Micrococcaceae.
UGAACGAUGAAGCCCAGCUUGCUGGGUGGAUUAGUGGCGAACGGGUGAGUAACACGUGAGUAACCUGCCCUUAACUCUGGGAUAAGCCUGGGAAACUGGGUCUAAUACCGGAUAGGAGCGUCCACCGCAUGGUGGGUGUUGGAAAGAUUUAUCGGUUUUGGAUGGACUCGCGGCCUAUCAGCUUGUUGGUGAGGUAAUGGCUCACCAAGGCGACGACGGGUAGCCGGCCUGAGAGGGUGACCGGCCACACUGGGACUGAGACACGGCCCAGACUCCUACGGGAGGCAGCAGUGGGGAAUAUUGCACAAUGGGCGCAAGCCUGAUGCAGCGACGCCGCGUGAGGGAUGACGGCCUUCGGGUUGUAAACCUCUUUCAGUAGGGAAGAAGCGAAAGUGACGGUACCUGCAGAAGAAGCACCGGCUAACUACGUGC